This is a non-coding RNA of Caenorhabditis elegans, 133 nucleotides long. Lineage: Eukaryota; Metazoa; Nematoda; Chromadorea; Rhabditida; Rhabditidae. The record is from Ensembl.
ACGGUCAAAAGGCGUCCACGCUCGUUCCUCUCAAGAAACCAUAUGGGCACGGAUAAAUGCGUGUACAAGAACGUGAAUGUUGACCCACAUCACUCAAAUCUGUUCGUUUAUAAUGAGAGGGAAAGGAGAGGGC